CAAAGCCAAAAAAUGGGGUUUGUCAAACAUGCUGGGGGGGGGUGUCCCAGCGAGCGGCCUCGUGGCCAUUGAGAGUGAGAUUUAUGUUAUUUCAUCAUCAUCAUCAUCAUCAUCAUCAUCAUGGAAUGGUUUGGGUGGGAAGGGACCUUAAACUCCUCCAGUUCCAAACCCAACACCUUCCACUAUCCCAGAGUGCUCCAAACCCUGUCCAGCCUGGCCUUGGACACUGCCAGGGAUCCAGGGGCAGCCACAGCUGCUCUGGGAAUCUGUGCCACCCUCACGGGAACAAUUCCUUCCCAACAUCCCACUGCUCUCUGGUAACUGAAGCCAUUCCCUGGGUCCUGUCCCUCCAGGCCUUGUCCCCAGUCCCUCUGAGCUCUCCCUGGAGCCUCCUCCUCUCCAGGUGAGCAAUUCCAGCUCUCCAGCCUGGCUCCAGAGGGGCUCCAGCCCUCAGAGCAUCCCUGUGAACUCCUCUGGAUUUGCUGCAGCAGCUCCACGUCCUCAUGCUGGUGGCAGUGCUCAGGUGACAGUCACCAGAGCAGAGCAGAGGGAUGGAGGUGUCCAUGGCACCAGGGGUGAAGCUGAGCCCUGGUGACUCCCAGGAUCCCACAGGAGCAGCACCUCCCAGGAUUCAGGGAUCCACUGCCAUCCAAACCUCAGCAGGCAGCAAAUUUCUCCCCAAAUCCUGCCUUUGCUCUGGAGCUUCCAUGUGCUGCUCCCUCAGAGCAGAACUGUGCUGGCUCCUGUUGGGAUGUUCAGUUUAGGAUGGAUUCCCAGGGCAGAUCCCUGCUGGAAAGAGCACGGGGAGCUUCCCUGAUCCUUCAUCAGCUGCACGAGGAGGGAGAAUUCAUCCACACUUCCCCCAGCAAUCCCAGCCUUUGGCUCACAUCCCCUGGACUUUUCCAUGCUCCAGCCACCACAAGCCCAGCUGGAUCUCCAGACCUCCAUCCUCAUCCAUCCUCAGCCUUGAUUUGUGCUCCCGGAGCGUCCUUCCCUUGCUGGACAAUAUUGGAACUCCCAAUUACCCCAACCAGAUGGGAUCAACCCCUGUGGUGAUUGGGAGAAAUUUUUUAUUAAAGCCCAGUAUUAAUCAUGGUAAUUGGGGAGGAACUUUGAGGUUAUAAAACUACAGCAUGUCUAAUGAGCGAGCUCCUUCUAGGAGGAACUGAGGGUUUUAAUCUAAUAAUGUCACUUUUAUGGAUUAUGACUGGAGUUUUAUGAAGUGUGAUAUGAAAUACAGUGGAUUCAUGGCUCUCGCUGGAUUAAUUUGGAAAAGUAGUUUUCCUGGUUCUAGGCCCAAAACCAAUUACUGCUCCCAUUUCUGUCCCCUGCCCCGUUACCAAACCCCUCUGUCAGAAAUGGGCACCUCCAGCCAUAACCUUUUUACAGGUUGGGUUUCUUUGUUUGGCUGAGGUUUGGGGUUUUUUGUUUUGUUUUGCUUUGUUUUUUGAAACCCCACAUUGUUACAAACAUCCAGUAGGCAGAGGAAGCUCAAAUUCCUUGGCACAGGCUGGAUAUUUGUCCAGGAGGGACAAAAACAAGCUGGAAACUCUUAAACACAGGUGAGGGCUACCUGGAGCUGGUCCACAGCCUGGGGACUGGAUCACCUCACUGGAGCUCCCUGACCUCGAGCCAUUGGCACAGAAAAGCCAAAACUGGGAUGUGUGGAAGGAUUAUAAAUCAUUUAAAGGGAAAAAGGAAACCUCAAGAACCAUCCAGUCCUUCCUGCUGCCCCAAGGGAGAGUCUAAAAGUCAAAGGAGAGUCUCUACCUGCACUGGAGUGUGUGUGUUAAACUAUUCCUAGAAAAUGCUCGUGCAUGUAGUUCUCCCCAAAAAUUUAUCAUAGGCACAGAGAAAAAUACUCCGGUGUAGGGAGGCACAGAGUGCACCUGGAAAAGUGUCCAGGGAUGUUUCUGACGUUUUUAAGGAACUGUGGGAUGCAGUGCCUCCGGAACAGCCAGGGCACAUCCAUGGCAAAGACCAGCCCUGUGGGAAACCACAUGGAUGGCAAGGGGGGCUGGGGGAUUGUCCCUGUGACCCCCCGGGGUGGGUGUUCUUUGGAAUCACGGAAUCACUGAGGUUGGAAUCGUGGAAUCACUGAGGUGGGAAUCAUGGAAUCACUGAGGUUGGAAUCAUGGAAUUAUUGAGGCUGGAAUCAUGGAAUCACUGAGGUUGGAAUCAUGAAAUUAUUGAGGCUGGAAUCAUGGAAUCAUUGAGGUUGGAAUCAUGGAAUCAUUGAGGUUGGAAUCAUGGAAUCACUGAGGUUGGAAUCAUGGAAUCAUUGAGGUUGGAAUCAUGGAAUCACUGAGGUUGGAAUCAUGGAAUCACUGAGGUUGGAAUCAUGGAAUCACUGAGGUUGGAAUCAUGAAAUCACUGAGGCGGGAAUCAUGGAAUCACUGAGGUGAGAAUCAUGGAAUCACUGAUCCUUGGAUCAUUGAGUCCAACCGUUCCCCCACCACAGCCAAGGCCACCACUGACCCCAGGUGUCCCCAGGUGCCACAUCCACAGGGCUCUGAAAUCCCUGCAGGCAGGGGGGCUCCUCCCUGGGCAGCCCUUUCCAUGAAGGAAUUCCUGCCUGAUUUCCAGCCACGUGCAAACCCAAACACAAAGCAGAGGUCACUUCCUCCAGGGGCAAAACGAGGGCUCCUUAGUCCUAGGCAGUAGCCAGG
Serinus canaria (Common canary) is the source of this 2669-nucleotide long non-coding RNA. RefSeq lists it as uncharacterized. NCBI's taxonomy places the organism in Eukaryota, Metazoa, Chordata, Aves, Passeriformes, Fringillidae. The transcript is spliced from 3 exons. The record is from RefSeq and is a predicted model, not a curated record.